UACGGAGGGAGCUAGCGUUGUUCGGAAUUACUGGGCGUAAAGCGCACGUAGGCGGCUCUGUAAGUUAGAGGUGAUAGCCUGGAGCUCAACUCCAGAAUUGCCUUUAAGACUGCAUCGCUUGAAUCCACGGAGAGGUGAGUGGAAUUCCGAGUGUAGAGGUGAAAUUCGUAGAUAUUCGGAAGAACACCAGUGGCGAAGGCGUUAUCAACUCGGACUGGUGGAAUUGACGCUGAGGUGCGAAAGCG
This 245-nucleotide ribosomal RNA is filed under the name uncultured Sphingomonadales bacterium. Its description in RNAcentral is "partial 16S ribosomal RNA". It matches the Rfam family "Bacterial small subunit ribosomal RNA", at positions 524 to 761 of the family's 1533-position model. Lineage: Bacteria; Pseudomonadati; Pseudomonadota; Alphaproteobacteria; Sphingomonadales. The record is from RNAcentral.